CGCCGAUCACGAGUUCAAAUCAAACCAACACAACUGUCGCCCCCUCGGCCCCUCCCACCCCAACCCCUCCCCGGCCCCCCUCAACCAGUGCAGCGCCUCGCCAUCGCCACAAGCCAUGUCGGAGAUUGAAUUGGUGCAGUGCUCGCGUGCCGGCAAGGAAGCGUUGCAGGAGCCAGAGUCGGAGCCGCAGCGCAAGUGGCUGCCAGAGUCGGAGCCGCAGCGCAAGUGGGUGGCCCUCGUCUCCGAUGCCGUCCUCCUCGGCAACGAGGACGAUCGGGCCCAGGAGAUCGUCCACGGCACCGACAUGCUGCUCGAGCUCAAAGACCCGCCGCUACCCUCGUACCUGUUGCUGCACCCCCGCGUCUCCACCAACACCAGGCGUACGUCCUCGCCGCUGUCCGCCUACGUCCUCGCCGCCAAUAACCGCUCCGCCUGCAUCCUCCUCCAGAUCGUCGAAGGCAAUCGCCCGGACAUCUUCCUCUGCGACACGCACCGUUGUACCGUAACCAUCCUGCCCCCGCUGCCCUCCUAUCUUUGGAGUAGGCCGGGCAUCUACAUCCGCCCCCACCUCAGCAUCGGCCUCAUCGCCGACCCGUACCACCGCGGCCACUACGUGGUAGCCCAGCUUCAACCCACCACCUCCUUCCACAACCCCAACAGGCUCCUCUGCUACUCCACCGCCAAACACCAGUGGUUCGCCUUGCAAAUCACCCGGCAAACGGCCCACUUGUACAACCCCUUAUCCGAGAAUGGCGUGCUCGCCCACGACGGCCGCCUCUGGUGGGUCGCCCUCGCCCAUGGCAUAUUCUUCUGUGACCCCUUCACGCCCGUCCUCCAAGAGCUGCGCCUGCGCUACCUCCGGCUUCCAGCCGACUGCCACGGCUACGUCGCCUUGGAGCCCCGCAUCAGGACCCUCAUCCACCAGCGGCGCUGUGUCAGGCCCAGCGAGGGCCAGCUGCGAUUCGUCGAGAUCCACGGGCUCGCCUACGACGACGUGCUCGUCGACGCACCGGCUAACCCCACCGUCAGGAUGUGGACGCUCGAAGACCCGGAGCGCCCGGACCCCUGGACAUAAGAGUACG
RNA transcript from Zea mays, 1082 nucleotides. RefSeq lists it as uncharacterized. Lineage: Eukaryota; Viridiplantae; Streptophyta; Magnoliopsida; Poales; Poaceae. The record is from RefSeq and is marked validated. The transcript has a single exon.